ACAGAACUCUUAGUUAAACAUUGUUGUCUGUUUAUUGGUACUUUUCCCAAGCUUAUUCCAGGCUAGUUAGGUUAAUAGGCAGGUUUUACACAGCCUGUCCAUGUGUAUGGUAGGAUGGAAUACAUGGCAAAUUCAGAAAGUACAAAUUCUAUCCACGCCCUCAUUCCUUGAAGGUCCAUUGCAACGCCUGUAAUAAGCAAGUUCCCCCUAGAUACAAAAUGUAACAAACUCCUAACGUCAUGCUAUUUCUUUCAAGUAUCAACAUUGCCAAAAAUUAUCCUGCUUCUUGUCUACAACCCUGUUUCACCAAUUCUGGGACUACCGAGCUACCUUUGUAGCAGGAGUUCACCCCCAUGUAGCAAUGGUGUUGCUCCAUCGUCUGUGGGAACUUUCACCAUAGUGGAAGAGCCCACAGGCACAUGGGGGUGUUUACUAAGCUGCAUACCUACAGAGGAAUAUCCCAAACAGUGGACUACGUCAACUACAUGUACUAUCAUAAUAAACAAAGGAAUAACAAUGGAACAAUCGACUAUUUACAAUAAGCAGAAAGUAUUGACCAUACAAAACAGGUCUUUAGUUUGAAUCUUAACUGUAAGGCUCGACUCAAUGCGUUCAAGACAUGUUCUUAUUUUAACUACAAUAAUCCAAGUAUAUAACAUUACUAUCAUCAUCGAGGCUUGCUCUACCAAUAGGUAAGAUAGUACCUUGGCAGUUGUUCUGUUUCUCACUUUGAUUUACUUCGAUGAUAGCAGCAGUUUUAGUAUUCUUCGGCACACUAUCAACAGUCUGCUAUGUGUUUGACUUGAAUUGUUUUAGCCCAGUAUUUCCACAAAAAGAAUCAUGCAGAUCACUUGUCUUGCUGGGGUAUAUGGACCAUAUGUGUAAAGGAAGGAAGCUUAUGUUUCUAAAACUCUAGUAUGCCAUCUUUCUGCAGACAAGAACAUCUGGAAUGGUAAACAAGAGCAUCCUACAUACACAAGGGGCAAAAAACAACAACAAUUUUUAAACAAUAACCUAGAUAACAAUGCUGCCUAACUUUGGCAAAAUACAUCAUCAAACUGCUUACAAUAGCGAGACACAACUUUUGUACAACUGUACAGGAUUAGAAGCCAGGGUUUAUUCAACCAAUACAUGUCUGCAAACUGUCUUCAGAUUCAAGGAUGUACCAAAUAUUGUUCUGAAGCAAAACCUUACAAUAGAAACCAUUACUUUCUGCUGCAUAAGGCAGAGACAUUUCCAUACUUAAAUAUAUAUUGAAGAUUGGCAUGAUAGGCCAUGAAUCUUGUAUGAGAAUUAGACUAGAAUAGGUAAUUAAUGGUAUUAACACUGUUCACUGGAUAAGUGGAAUAAUUCUGGUAAUUUGGGGUCUCUGGCAAUGCCAUCUUUACAACUAUAUACUGUUGUGAAAGAAAACAUAACUCCGUAGAAAGCAUGUUAGUUUAAAUGAUGCAGUGACAUUGUUAUGUACAUGCAGUAACCCGGGAAAUGUAAUAUGCCAGCAAAGUAGACUUCCACUGAAGUUCACAUAAAGACUUUCAAAAAUUGAAAUUUGCCUGUUGAUAAAGGCUUAGUAACUGACACUGAUGUGAUAACUAAACCCCUACAACUGGGCAAAGGCUUUCCACAAACUGUUGGGAUUACAUCUUCAGAUAACAAGAAGACGUUAAAGGUUCACAACAUUCUUUGUACACAACCGCUACACCAGGUGAUAUAUGCAAAGUAUGUGUACAAAGACAGUUGUUAACCAGUGAUCAACCAACAUGGUAAAACUAUUCACUGAAGAAGUACAAUGAUCGUAUUAAAGAAUUGUUCUCGGUGAAAAGUCCAAAGCCAGUUCUGGAGAUUUCUUCCUGCACAGAUGAAGUGGCCAGUGUUGUAGUGUGACUCUCUGUUGUUCCCUCUACUGGUGGCUAGGUUGGGUGGGUAAGUGAGCUCUGAUG
Branchiostoma floridae (Florida lancelet) is the source of this 1940-nucleotide long non-coding RNA. RefSeq lists it as uncharacterized. The transcript has 2 exons. Lineage: Eukaryota; Metazoa; Chordata; Leptocardii; Amphioxiformes; Branchiostomatidae. The record is from RefSeq and is a predicted model, not a curated record.